GACGAACGCUGGCGGCGUGCUUAACACAUGCAAGUCGAACGGAAAGGCCCUGCUUUUGUGGGGUGCUCGAGUGGCGAACGGGUGAGUAACACGUGAGUAACCUGCCCUUGACUUUGGGAUAACUUCAGGAAACUGGGGCUAAUACCGGAUAGGAGCUCCUGCUGCAUGGUGGGGGUUGGAAAGUUUCGGCGGUUGGGGAUGGACUCGCGGCUUAUCAGCUUGUUGGUGGGGUAGUGGCUUACCAAGGCUUUGACGGGUAGCCGGCCUGAGAGGGUGACCGGCAACAUUGGGACUGAGAUACGGCCCAGACUCCUACGGGAGGCAGCAGUGGGGAAUAUUGCACAAUGGGCGGAAGCCUGAUGCAGCAACGCCGCGUGCGGGAUGACGGCCUUCGGGUUGUAAACCGCUUUCGCCUGUGACAAAGCGUGAGUGACGGUAAUGGGUAAAGAAGCACCGGCUAACUACGUG
Molecule: ribosomal RNA, 468 nt
Filed under: uncultured bacterium
Lineage: Bacteria
Description: partial 16S ribosomal RNA
Rfam family: Bacterial small subunit ribosomal RNA
Source: RNAcentral